UUGACCUCGGCCUCACGUAGGGAUACCCGCUGAACUUAA
RNAcentral lists this ribosomal RNA (39 nucleotides) under Penicillium melinii. RNAcentral describes it as "partial 28S ribosomal RNA". Lineage: Eukaryota; Fungi; Ascomycota; Eurotiomycetes; Eurotiales; Aspergillaceae. The record is from RNAcentral.